GACGAACGCUGGCGGCGCGCUUAACACAUGCAAGUCGAACGGAAAGGCCUGCUUUCCCUUGUGGAUUGCGGGUACUCGAGUGGCGAACGGGUGAGUAACACGUGAGUGAUCUGCCCCCAACUUGGGUAUAAGCCUGGGAAACUGGGUCUAAUUCCCGAUAGGACUGCAGGGUGGUGCCUGUGGUGGAAAACGAUUUUCUAGUGGUUGGGGAUGAGCUCGCGGCCUAUCAGCUUGUUGGUGGGGUAAUGGCCUACCAAGGCGGCGACGGGUAGCCGGCCUGAGAGGGUGGACGGCCACAUUGGGACUGAGAUACGGCCCAGACUCCUACGGGAGGCAGCAGUGGGGAAGAUUGCACAAUGGGCGGAAGCCUGAUGCAGCGACGCCGCGUGGGGGAUGACGGCCUUCGGGUUGUAAACUCCUUUCGACCGCGAGGAAGCCACCUGGUUGGAAGGGUGGUGACGGUAGUGGUAGAAGAAGCACCGGCUAACUACGUG
This 494-nucleotide ribosomal RNA is filed under the name uncultured bacterium. Its description in RNAcentral is "partial 16S ribosomal RNA". It matches the Rfam family "Bacterial small subunit ribosomal RNA", at positions 28 to 507 of the family's 1533-position model. The record is from RNAcentral.